RNAcentral lists this long non-coding RNA (1188 nucleotides) under Meleagris gallopavo (turkey). RNAcentral describes it as "lncRNA (ENSMGAG00000021466.1)". Lineage: Eukaryota; Metazoa; Chordata; Aves; Galliformes; Phasianidae. The record is from RNAcentral.
AGGGGGGCAGCCAGCCCACGGCAGGGUUGGGGAUGGGUGAGCUUUAAGGUCCCUUCCAACCCAAACCAUUCUGUAAUUCUAUGACAAGCAAGGCAGGGCUGAGCUAACUGGUGAGACUGAGUUCUGGACUGCCAGUGAAACAACACAGCAGUCUGUAGGAAAACCUAGCAAAAUGAGAAAACAGCCUGCAGUCUGACCGACACAGAGAAUGCUUGAAAAGAUUAUUGCCAAAUGAAAUAAUGUAUCUGUAACUAUUCUUUAAAUAAAACAUUCGGUAAGAGUGCACCAUUUCUGCUAACAGGCAGCACCUCAGGAUGGGAAGCAGGGCUCCUUGCUGGGUGCCCCAGCUCCCACAGCAGUCAAGGAGCAGCUUAUCAGUACCCAUCAUCCGAGGCACUCUGACUCUCAGUCCCAGUGAACCACAAAAAAGAAGAAAAGCUCCAAUACAAAUACCAUUCUAUAGGAUAGAGCACAGCUAAAAAGACUUAAGCAGAGCUGUUUUUUUCAAUGGCUCAGUGAGAACAGAGAUACUUUCUCUUCUAGCAGCCACUCCCCUGCACCAAGCCCACAGAUAUUGCCAAGACACUGCCAAAAUGGGGUGGAAACAAAGUCAACAACUUUUUUAAGACUCAGGAAUUUUCUUCUGUUAUUCUCACCCUCACCACAAUAACCAAGUGAGUCCGUCUCUAAAACAAAAUCUAACCCAUGUUCUGGGUUGGGCCCUGAGCUGUGAGGGGUAGCCUGGUGACUCCUCCAAGUGCUUUCUCCAUCUGCUUUUCUGUUGACUGAAGGACUCAAACUUACAAGAGGAUCAUACUGAGGCUAAAGAGGAUGAAAGCAUUUCCUGCUGUGCGGCUGGCAGCCCUGCACGCGACCCAGAGACCUGCCAGGCCCAGGAAGCCUCAGCGCCGCCCAGCUUCACUGGGGGACACGCUGCCCUUGCAGGACCGCAGGUCCCACCUCUCAGAAGCCAUAGAACUUUGCCACCGACAGCCAGCCCAGCUCCAGCCCCACUUUGUGAAAAACAAACCAACCGAUCUGCUUGUGCAACCGAUGCCAACUUUCCAGACGUUUCAUCUAGCAGACUGCACACAAAGCACUUCAAAUAAAUACAGUGGUGAUUCAUUUCCAUUAAAAACACUUUUUCUUUUUUAUUCAACUUCCCAGAAUGAAUUAAUUUAUCUAUGA